CCUUUGCUUCACCAACACCAGUUUACACUCCACUCCCAGGCUCCUUCUAUUGACGGCGUGUUUCAGUGUUCUAUGUGUGGUAUCUUUCACCAUGGAUUUGUCUACAGUUGUGAUAAAUGUGCUUUGCAAACUGGCGGAAACCUUCUCCUCGACAGUGAGUGCAUUAUGUAUUGGGAGAACAGGGAUCUUAAACAUGAGUCUCAUGCUCACCGCCUCCUCCUCGACAUGAAUUGGGAGGAGGACAUCUGUUGCAGGGGUUGCGGUUCCAAAAUAUUUUUCUGCUUCAGUUGUAAGAGAUGCAAUUUUCAUCUUUGCAUAGCCUGUGUUAGAUUACCUCUUACUGGUACGCAUCGAUACGACAAGCAUGUUCUAAAGCUCACCUAUGCUAGUAGAAUUGAAGACGAAGUUGUAGGUUACUACUGUGAGAUAUGUGAAGGGAAAAGGGAUCCAGCACAUUGGUUCUACUGGUGCAAAGAUUGCAACUUUGACUGUCAUCCUCAUUGCAUCAUAGGGAGGUAUCCCCGAGUUAAGUUGGGGAGCACUUACAAGCACAACGAUCAUGUCCAACACCAAGUCACUCUUGUUAGCAAGUGGAAGAGCCCCAUUCGGGGCGAUAAGAGGGACAACAUUCUUCCUUGUGAGAGGUGCCAUGAACUUUGCCAAGGAUUAGUAUUUGAAUGCAGAGAAUGCAAUAUCAAUUUCCAUCGAGAUGGAUGUUGUGGAGCUACAGAUUCAGCAAGUUCUAGCAGGUCACCUCAGAUCGAAGAGCUAAGUUAAUGUCCCUGAAUUUCCUAGUUGAUUCAUUCUUAUUUUCUACGUUCAUUGUUGUAUGAGAUUGAGGUCAUUAUUUGGAGAAGGUGAUGACACAUACUACCACCUUUUUUAUUUUCUUUUUGCUUUUUUUGUAAUGACACAGAAUAUUGUAUGAGAUUGUAUGUCGUUCGUCUGUUUUCUUUCUUGCAAUUUUCCUGCUAUACAAUGGAAAAGUAUUUUAUUGGCAUUUCCAAGUACACAAACGUUAUUCAAGAUAGCAAAUAGUUAUCUUUUAUUCCUAAGAAAAGUUCUCUAGGUUUCUCUCUAGGGUUUUUACAACUUUAGGUAUGUCUUGCGUUUCAAUGAGGAAGAUGAGCGAAAUCAGGUGGUGGAGGGUGGUCCAUGGUUUCACGGUAAAACCAUGUUUGCCCUAGCCUAUGAUGGUCGCACUGCUGCUGCAGAGGUUCCGAUCCGGUCUAUUCCGGUUUGGGUGGAGGUCUUCAGUCUUCCGCCAAUUCUGACGACGACCAAGGAAACCUUGUACAUGGUUUGUGCUACGCUUGGAAAGAGUGUUCACCAUGAUAACCAUAAUUUGCUGUCCGGUGCGCGUGCUAGGGUUCGGAUCGAGCACGGCCUCGACUCUCCGGUGAAACAAGCAUACCCCCGAUGCGGUUUGAUUUCGGCGAAGGUAAAGAUCUGACCUCCGUCUUGCUUACUUUCAAGUAUAUGCGUGUGUAUGGUUAUUGAAGGACCUGUGGUAUGAUUGAACACCCGGCGGGUGGCUGUCUGGGGCCGCCAGACAUGUCGGCGGCUGUUCUGUGUAGUGGAGGAGGUUCCGGUGCAAACCAAAACCCUAACCGUAGCCUAGGGCUUUUGGUUUUCCUGGAACCCCAUUCCGGCCCCCCGGCCAUUCUUAGAGCAAUUGAAAAACGUCAGUGAAGUUCACCAUAAAAGAAGUAACAAAUUGGGAAGCACACUUGUCUUUUGUGUUCAUGCUAGAACUACAUUGACAAGGCCAAUAGAAAUGCACUGAACCACUCCUACGGAAAGGGUCACGGAAAACCUAUUUGGUUAAAACCUGCCGCCCGCCAGCUAUUCACAAGUCUAGUCCUUUGGCAGUGCCCACCGUUACCUAGCUGGUUUUGCUGGUUUAACAUGGAGCAACAGUAAGUUGUAACGUAGCUUUUAAUCUUGCUAGUUUGUAUUAUCCUAUUUCGUCUUCGAUUUGGAAUCAUGAAUCAUGAUCGAUAACUUCCCAUAUAGAAGGGAUAUGUAGAAUUGUAGAUCACUUGACCACAAUCUUACGAGUUCGUAAGAUUUUUCUAUUCUAUAUGUAUGGGUGCCAGUGGAAAUGCUAUAUAUAUGACCUCAUGAUUUAGAGGCAACUGAGAGAAGCCUACGGAUAGCUCAUCUUUCCGUUUACCCCCUUUGAUAAGAAGUAUCAAGAUUUAUCAAUAGAAAAUGAUAUAAAGCUAGGAAUAGAAACUGCAAAGCAAAAGCCAAUUAGACCUGUCAAAGAAAAUAGAAACUAUAGAAAAGAAGCUAGUACGAAUCCAUAAGAGAUAUAGAUAUAGAUUAAUAAUCGUGAGAAAGAAAGAAGAAAGUAGAUACUAGAUACCUGAGUAAGAAAGAAAGGAUAACAAAAAAAAAAGAAGAGAGAGAGAGACAGACAAGAGAGAGAGAGAGAGAAGCUAACCAAAGCAAGCAGUGUCUUGAACUGGUCAAAAAAUAUAAAGAGUAGAGUUUCUUAAGCUCAGUGAUUGUAGAUAAUAAGCAAAAGAAACAGCACCCAUGUAGUAAAACACUUCAUUAUUCUGGAUUCUGAUCUUUAAUAUCCUUUUGUUUCUUUGAAGGUAUAAGGAUAAUUGGCAAUCCUUUAUCCUACAAAACACCUUGAAAUAUUGGCAUCUGAACAAGAACAAGUGUCACUAACAUCGCUUAUGGUUUCAGGUAAAACAUGCAUUUGCAUAUCACUGUUUUUCACAGAGGUUAUCAGCUUCGCUUGCUAUCCUUGUACUGAGUCUUUUGUUGUCCUGAUUUUCAAAGAACUUGUUAUAUUAGUUAAUUAGGUCUUUGUUGAUUUUCAAAUUCAAAUGGACAACUGUGUUGGUGGGAAGUGCCUUGGCGCUCAAACCAGUCUAAGGGUUGAGAUCUUUUGUUAUGUCAACCCGUGACCAAAUGGUUUGAUGCUCAAGGCUCCAGCUUGGUUUUUAUGAUACAUUAUCCAAUACAAAGCUGGUCCCUGUGUGAUUCAAAGACCAGUCGCUAUCGGCUGUGUCAAGGUCCACUAAUGGAUUGAGUAAGAGGGUUUGAAACCUCUUUGCUCCCUGUUUUGAAUCGUUCAUGUUUUAGGAAAGGUAUCUUUGUCUUAUUAAGGUUGCUUGUGUCAACUCUCCAUUUGGUUACAUCACUUUCAGUAUGGGAGCCAAACACUUCAAUCCAAACCUUUAUGAAACAUGUUGAGGUCAGCUUGCAUCAUCUUUGAUGCCUUGUCUGCCUAUAUAUAUUUAUAGCUUUGGCUUUGCUCAAUGGUUGUUGAAAACUGUCUUAUUGGGUUUUCUUUGUUGAGUCUAGUUUUUAGCUUGCAUUGUUCAUGCUGCUCUAAGUCUUCUUCGUGACUGUAAACCUUAGAGCUUGAACUCAAAACUUCUUUCAUCAACUCAUAUCAUGUUGCAUACCAUGAGGGAUGUGUAGUGCAACCAACCUAAGAAGCGUUCAAGGUUGAAUCUGCUAGUGGUUAGCUGAAUUCAUGAACAAGGCUUCUAAAAGUGUUCCAUGUUGUAAGAGCUUAGAAACAAGAGAGGGAAUAGGUCUAGACUAGUUUGGGACUAGGAAGGAUAGCAUUGUGGUAAUGUAUCACUAGAACUAUUAUUCUUGUAAGAAGUUACUUCAACUUAGAGAAAAAAUUUUGUCUCUCAAGAGUUAGAGACACGCAGUUUUUCUCUCUGCAUUCAGGGUUUCUGCGAGUAAAAAAAUAUCCUUAUGUUGUUUCUUUAUUUGCUGCAAUUUACUUUCUGCAAACUUGUAUCCUGUGAAUCUGGGAUAGCACAAGUAAUUGCUAUCGGCGAUUACAGAAAUUAACGAAAAUUCAAAAAAACCUAUUCAUCCCCCUGCCCCCCCGGACCUUUAUUCUUCUUUUUUUCUUUUUUCUUUUUCAGCAAUACGUAUCGACCUUUAAUUUCUUGGUCUGUUGUAUCGUGUUUGCUACUAUACUUCCUUAUAUAGAUUCCGGCCUCCAUAUAUACCUUAGCUUUAACAAAUAGCAAGUCCAGACUCUCCAUAACCAGAGUUCUAGAGCUAUAUAUGGUAUGGACCCUAUUAUUUCAGUCGCUGCAUAGAUCGACUGAUUGAACAUUUCGGAAAAUCCGAUCCCUGAACUAGAACUAAGGUAUGCAUGCUUGUCAUAAAUCACUCUUAUCUUUUUUGUUUUGGAAAUUCUUUUUCUUAACUAAAAUAUUGUCAUUGUUGAACCUUGAACUUUUAUCUACCUGAAAUUAUUGUAGCUUAAUUAUUAAUUUCCAAGUCAUGUAGCCUGAUUAUGCAAUGUAUGUUCAUAUAAACUAGUUUUAAACUUUUAGUUAAUAGACUAGUACUCAUAGUAAACUAGUUUAGGGUGCUGAAAUAAUUAGAUACUGAUUGAAUGCUGAUAAACAGAGACAAAAGAACCAGAAAUGGAUGAUGAUCAGCUAAAACACUUCAGUCAUGAGCAUCCCUUGGCAUUCAAGGAAGAGGCGCCACCGAAAAAUGAAGCAUCAGGUCAACCAGUUUUAUGCUCUGCCUGUGGGGAGCCAGUGCUUGGUUCUUACUACAGUUGCAAUCAAUGUUCCAACGAAUUCAUUCUCCACAAGCCAUGCGCGCAGCUAGGCAGAGAGAUCCAGCACCCGAUGCACGAACACACACUUACUAUUCUCACAAAGGAUUCCAGACCAUACAGAUCCUAUAUUUGUGAUAUGUGUGGAGCAGCAUCCCGUGCCGAAUCUUACUCUUGUUAUGAGUGUGAAUUUGAUCUUGACUUCAAAUGUGCUGCCGACAGAGAUUGUAUAAAACAUUUCAGUCACAAGCAUUUGUUGAAGUUUAUUGAAAAGCCACAUGAUGAUGGUUCACCAGUUUUUUGUAUUGGGUGUUUAGAGCCAGUGCUUGGUCCUUGUUACACUUGCAAACUGAGUUUGGAGAUGGAGAGGAAUAGAAGCUGCUCCCUUUUUCUGCAUAAAUCAUGUGCAGAGUUACGUCGUGAGAUCCAGCAUCCGAUGCAUCACCAACACGCGCUCACUCUUAACCUAAAUGCAGCAAGAGAAUACUACUGCGUUGCAUGUGACCAAGAAUGUAGUCGCAAAUUCAGUUAUAGUUGUUUCAAAUGUGACUUCAACCUAGACCCCAAAUGUGCAUCUGAGGAAGGCUACAAACAUUUCAGUCACGAGCAUCCAUUAAUGUUCAAGAAGCAAGGAACCACAAAAAGAGAGUCUGAUCAUUUAGUUAUUUGCGAUGCAUGCCAGGUUCCAGUAUUUGGUCCUAGUUACACUUGCAUCAAUAUAAAUCGUCGUCGCAGAUGCAGCUUCAAUCUCCAUAAGUCAUGUGCAGAUUUACGUCUUGAGAUCCAGCACCCGGUGCACCGUCAACAUCGGCUUUCUCUUCUCAAUACAAUUGAGAAUAUCAAAGUUCGUUGCUUUUGCAAUGCCUGCAAUCAACCUUGCAGAUACCGCUACAGCUGUACCAUUUGCGACUUCAACCUUGACCUCAAAUGUGCCUCAAAUUGGCAAAACAUUAUUGACAAUGACUCUCACCAACAUCAGUUCAUAGUCCCCCGGAAGGAAUUGGCCGAGCUCCACCUUAACUGCGACGUCUGUGGGGAGUACUGGAGUGGCGUCAUGAUCUACAUUUGUAGCAUCUGCCAACUCUUGGUCCAUGAAGAAUGUGCUUCAGUUCCACACUACACCAACAUACCCGGGCACCAACACGGCCUCAAGCUAACCUGGUUCCUUGAAGACAUUUACCCCAAGGACCAGGUCUGUAACAUCUGCUCUACGAAUAUUAAUAACUGUCGUACUGUAUAUUAUUGUCAGGAAUGUGGAAGCUAUGUUGCACACACUACAUGCAUAUUUCUGAAAGAAGAAACCCAAAGCAGAACCAUUAUUAUUGAUGAUGAUUAUGACUCUGAUGAUGAUUGGAUGAUCACACACUUCAGUCAUCACCAUCUUUUAUAUGAUGAUCGUCGGCAGGUUAAGGCUGACAGAAUGAUUACCUGUGAGGGUUGCUUUCGACCCAUCACUAAAGAAUUUUACAGCGGUAUUGAGUCUUGCCACUUUUAUCUCCACAAAACAUGUGCUCGAUUACCAAAAAAGAUGCUUCUCCCUUUGCUUCACCAACACCAGUUUACACUCCACUCCCAGGCUCCUUCUAUUGACGGCGUGUUUCAGUGUUCUAUGUGUGGUAUCUUUCACCAUGGAUUUGUCUACAGUUGUGAUAAAUGUGCUUUGCAAACUGGCGGAAACCUUCUCCUCGACAGUGAGUGCAUUAUGUAUUGGGAGAACAGGGAUCUUAAACAUGAGUCUCAUGCUCACCGCCUCCUCCUCGACAUGAAUUGGGAGGAGGACAUCUGUUGCAGGGGUUGCGGUUCCAAAAUAUUUUU
Molecule: long non-coding RNA, 6379 nt
Filed under: Fragaria vesca (wild strawberry)
Lineage: Eukaryota; Viridiplantae; Streptophyta; Magnoliopsida; Rosales; Rosaceae
Description: long non-coding RNA (FVES_LNC003777)
Source: RNAcentral